Long non-coding RNA from Bombyx mori (domestic silkworm), 537 nucleotides. RefSeq lists it as uncharacterized. NCBI's taxonomy places the organism in Eukaryota, Metazoa, Arthropoda, Insecta, Lepidoptera, Bombycidae. The record is from RefSeq and is a predicted model, not a curated record. The transcript has 3 exons.
ACGAAUCUAAAACGUUCCGUUUCACGACUCGAAGUUUAGGCGAAGAAAAAACUUCAUGGGCCACUACGUCACGUCACGAAGGAACACAAUUGAAAUAUUUUACAAACAUAAACAUCAUAGAUUGUAUCUUUCUAAGCCGUGUACUUUAAAAACUUUUAUCGAUUUAUCGAACAAAAACCAUUUCAUUCGAACGACGCUGUAAAACCACUUAAAACCAUUCCAUAAUUUAAAAAUCCAUUAUUGACGUUAGAGCUCCAGGAAUUCUAUGACGGCUUCAACCUUUCAUUGUAUCAACUUUAUAAAAGAUCCAAGAAUCUCAGUACCUAUUCGAUCUAAUAUAAAUGAAAAAUAUAAAAAUGGUAAAGUCGUGGUUUUUAGCAAGCUUUUAUCAACUGGGAGUGUAUCUAUGUUUAUUUCUAUGUAACAGAAUCUUUGAACGUCAUUAUCACCAACUUCAAGAGGUCAACUUAAUUUUAAAAUAUGCACCAGCAUCAAUGACUAAUAACAGUACAAUCAUUUUAUAACUUCGCUCUAAUA